CGACCCCAGGUCAGGCGGGACCACCCGCUGAGUUUAAGCAUAUC
RNAcentral lists this unclassified non-coding RNA (44 nucleotides) under Lacistema nena. RNAcentral's name for it is "ITS2". Lineage: Eukaryota; Viridiplantae; Streptophyta; Magnoliopsida; Malpighiales; Lacistemataceae. The record is from RNAcentral.